AUGUUGGAAUAUUUUUUAGGGGGUUCUCUCUCUUCUCUCUCUAAAAAUCUUUCAGAGAGAGAACUGUUUGUGGAUCAAGUCGCCGGUUCUUUUAACGGCAGUAUCAUUCCCAGGUUCGGGAUCUGUUUCCGGUAUAAGUGGUCUUGUUGACACUUUAUACUCGGAUUUUGUCUCCGGCGAAGCUCCAUCUCGUUGGAGUUGCGGCCGGCUUUUGACUCUGGCGACGUCGACUUGCUUUCCGGUGGCGUCGGCCGGCUUCUUCUCCGGUUCUUUUCGGAGUUUGUUCUUUUGUUUAGAUCCUCUCCUCUCUCUCCUCUUGUUAAAGUUUCAGCCCUCUUUUGAUUUUGGAUCCAAUUGCUUCAUCCUUUCCUUGUUAAGGCUUAUCCAUCUUCAUGCUUCUUCUUAUCUUUAAAGAUGGCUUGUUUUAGAUGCAGGAUAAUUGGAUCUUUGAGAUCGAAUGGUUGCGGUUGAUUUUUAUUUCGUAGGUGAGGAUUCAAGUUACGGUGUAGACGGUUAGUCUACUUGCUCUGAUUCGAAAUAGUGUUGUUGACGACGGUUCUUAUUGUUGCUCCUGUUCCGGUAAGCUCCGGUGGACGGCGAUUUGUUUUCCGGUCACGACUCUCAAGUCGGUGUAGUUUGGUGACGUCUCAUCUCCUUCCGCCAUAUGUCCUGCUGUUGCUCAGAGUCUGACGCGUGGUUGUGUUUUGCUGGAGUUAGUCACCGCUCAUCUUUGGGCUUUUAUGUUUGGGCCAAUAGUUUGGACCGUUUAUGGCGUUCUCGUGUUGCUGUCCUGCUUGUUGGGCCAUUCUCUUUAUGUUUAUGUUUUAACCAUUUUCGUUUGGGCCUUGUUGUAAAAUUUGUUCUUGUUCAAUAAAUUUCCGGUUGACAAAAAAAAAAUAAGGGGAUGUUGGAAAGCGGAUCAAAUUUACUUUCCUGCAAACUAGAAAUUCUUUUAGUAAAAAAUACGAUUCACAUAGUCUGCA
RNAcentral lists this long non-coding RNA (983 nucleotides) under Brassica rapa (field mustard). RNAcentral describes it as "long non-coding RNA (BRAP_LNC007104)". Lineage: Eukaryota; Viridiplantae; Streptophyta; Magnoliopsida; Brassicales; Brassicaceae. The record is from RNAcentral.